RNAcentral lists this unclassified non-coding RNA (484 nucleotides) under Anelosimus eximius. RNAcentral's name for it is "partial contains tRNA-Leu and 16S ribosomal RNA". The stretch from base 58 to 355 matches the Rfam family "Bacterial large subunit ribosomal RNA", at positions 2074 to 2646 of the family's 2925-position model. Lineage: Eukaryota; Metazoa; Arthropoda; Arachnida; Araneae; Theridiidae. The record is from RNAcentral.
CUUUAUUAAUUUCUUAUAUAUAAUUUAUAUUAAAUAUAAAAAUAUAUUUUUUAAAUAAAAUAGACGAUAAGACCCUAUUAAAUUUUACUUAUAGUUUAACUGGGGAAGUUUUAAAAAUAAAAUUUUUUAUAAAAAUAAAAAUAAAUCUAAUAAAAUUAAAAUUAAAUUAAAUUACUAUAGGGAUAACAGCAUUAUAUUUUUUAAAAGUUCAUAUUAAAAAAAAUGAUUGUGACCUCGAUGUUGAAUUAUAUUUUCUUUAUUAAUGCAAUAAUUAUAAAAGUAGAUCUGUUCGAUCUUUAAAAUAUUACAUGAUUUGAGUUCAAACCGGUGUAAACCAGGUUGGUUUCUAUCUUUUUAUAAAUUCAUAUAUAUAUAUAUAUAUAUAUAUAUACAUAAAUUUUUCAAGUACGAAAGGAAAAAAAAAUUUUUAUUUUAAUUAAUUAGCAAUUAAUAUGCAUUAGAUUUAGAAUCUAAAUAAACUAUU